GGGUAGAUGUCCGAGCGGUUGAAGGAGCACGCCUGGAACGCGUGUAAAGUGAAAGCUUUCGAGGGUUCGAACCCCUCUCUGCCCGCCA
This 88-nucleotide transfer RNA is filed under the name Campylobacter curvus. RNAcentral describes it as "tRNA-Ser". It matches the Rfam family "tRNA". From Rfam's summary of the family: Transfer RNA (tRNA) molecules are approximately 80 nucleotides in length. Lineage: Bacteria; Pseudomonadati; Campylobacterota; Epsilonproteobacteria; Campylobacterales; Campylobacteraceae. The record is from RNAcentral.